This is an RNA transcript of Thunnus maccoyii (southern bluefin tuna), 6926 nucleotides long. It is a transcript of the gene named receptor-type tyrosine-protein phosphatase mu-like, with no coding region annotated. The transcript has 39 exons. The record is from RefSeq and is a predicted model, not a curated record. Lineage: Eukaryota; Metazoa; Chordata; Actinopteri; Scombriformes; Scombridae.
ACGGUCGGAGUCAGGAGGAGGGGACACCUCCGAGCUGUCUCCUCAUUCACACAGGCGGGGCUCACACGUGCCCUCUACCGGCCAGACAGUGCGCACACAGCCGCUGCUCUCCUGGAGCUGCCGGACCACUCAAUCCAUGCGUAAUUCAGCAAUCAGGACUCACUCACAUUCCUCCUCCAAGUGUGGAGCAAGCCGGCAAGGAGCAGCCGUGUCGGCGAUCGUGUCCUCUCACCCUCGACAGCACGCCAAAGGGACAGAGGGCAGGUCGAAGACUUUAGAUACAACACACCUAAAAGUAUAGGUAGGAUUCAAGUUGCAAUAAAGAAAGAAGAGUUGCCAGUUAACCCCGCAGCUGGGGGUUAACGCUACGACGGCGCUGUCGACAUGGAUAAAGUUAUCAAUUGCUUGUUUGCUGCAAUAACCCUGCUGUUGUCCGUCCGAGGGGAAGUUUUUAAAGGCGAUUGUAACUUUGAGAAGCCGCUGGCAGCAUGUGGAUACAGCCAAGGCAGAGACGAUGACCUUGACUGGGAGCAGGCCAAUACUAGAGAGAAGUCUUCAUCAGAUCCAUGGAUGCCCUCAGGUUCAGCCUUCCUGAUGGUGAACACAUCGGGACGCUUUGCAGGGCAGAAGGCCUUACUGCUGACACCCCAGCUGAAGGAGAAUGACACCCACUGUGUUAUUUUCCACUACUAUAUCGGAGGCAGAGACAACAGCCACCCAGGCCACCUAAAUGUCUAUAUCAAAGAAAACAACAGCCCCAUGGGGAUGCCUGUUUGGAACGUGUCAGGUCCAGCCUCUCGUUCCUGGGGACAGGUAGAGCUGGCCAUCAGCACCUACUGGCCCAACUUCUACCAGAUUGUGUUUGAAGCCGUAACCUCAGGGCAGCGUGGUUUGCUGGCCAUCAAAGAUGUCAUGGUCCAGGGCCACCAGUGCAUGAACACACCACACUUCCUGACUAUAAAGGGGGUAGAGGUCAAUGCUGGACAGACUGCAUCUUUUCACUGCACCGUCAAUGGACGCAAGAGAGAUAAUUUCCGCCUCUGGCUUCAGGGAAUCGGUGGACGGGAGGCCCCAAUGAAAGCCACUAAACCUUGGAACAACCGGCGCUUCAUUGGCACUUUUGAUGUGGAGAACACAACCAAGGGCGACUCGGGCCGCUACCGUUGUAUCGUCCACUCAGACAAAGGGGUUGGAGUGUCCAAUUACGGGGAACUAACCAUAAAACAGCCCCCAGUUCCUAUUGCACCCCCCCAGCUCACUGCUGUCGGUGCCACCUACCUAUGGAUCCAGCUGAACGCAAACUCCAUCAAUGGGGAUGGCCCAAUCAUCGACAGGGAGGUGGAGUACCGCACUGUGUCGGGCACCAUGUAUGACCUGCAGCCUGUAGACAAGACCACACACAAGAUCGGCCACCUGGACCCUGACACAGAGUAUGAGAUCAGUGUUCUGCUGACCAGACCUCUGGAGGGAGGCACUGGAGCACCUGGACCCCCUCUGAGGGCCAGGACCAAAUGUGCAGAGCCCAUGCACGGACCACGGAAGCUGGAAGUGGUGGACAUCCAAUCCAAACAGGUGACAGUGCGUUGGGAGCCUCUGGGCUACAACGUGACCCGCUGCCACAGCUACAACUUAACCGUCCAGUACCGCUCCAGGGUGGGCGGCAAAGAAGAGACCCGGGAGGAAGUUUGUUAUGACACCCAGAGCCGCGAUCCUCAGCACACCAUCCACAACUUGACGCCUUUCACCAACCUCAGUGUCAAGCUGGUGCUGCGUAACCUGGAGGGUGUCAAGGAGAGCACUGAGCUGGAAGUUCAGACUGAUGAGGAUGUGCCAGGGGCUGUUCCUCUGGAGUCCAUUCAGGGCAGUGCCUAUGAGGAGAAGAUCAUCCUGAAGUGGAGAGAACCUGCUCAGACCUAUGGGAUUAUCAUUCAGUAUGAGAUCUCCUACAAGGCGGUGAGCUCCUUUGACCCUGAGCUGGACCUCUCCAACCAGAGUGGGAAGGUAGUGAAGCUAGGAAACGAGACCACUCACAUGUUCACAGGGCUCUACCCGGGCUCUACAUACUCCUUCACUCUGCGCGCCAGCACAGCCAAGGGCUACGGCCCCCCUGUCAUCACCCAGUUCACCACCAAGAUCUCAGCUCCUUCCAUGCCUGCGUAUGACCAGGAGACCUCUCUGAACCAAACAGACAGCACAGUCACUGUACUGCUUAAACCUGCCCAAAGCAGGGGUGCACCUGUGAGUGCCUACCAGGUGGUGGUGGAGGAGGAACGUCCACGCAGAGCACGAGGCACAGCAGAAAUCCUGCGCUGCUACCCAGUUCCCAUUCACUUCCAGAACGCCACGCUCCUAAACUCCCAAUACUACUUCACUGCUCAGUUCCCCGCCGCUGGUAUCCACUCACCCCAACCCUUCACUGUCGGGGACAACAAGACCUAUAAUGGCUACUGGAAUGCCCCUCUGCUGCCCCAGAAGAGCUACAGCAUCUAUUACCAGGCUGUCAGCACAGCCAACGGGGAGACCAAAAUCGACUGUGUUCGAGUAGCCACCAAAGCCGCCAUACUCGUGACUCAGCUCACAACCCCCUACAUCCGCAUCGCCCCAGCGGCUGGUGACAACCAACUAACAGGAGCUGCCACUCACAAACCUGAUGCUGUGGAGCCGGAGAAACAAACGGAUCAUACGGUGAAAAUCGCCGGGGUCAUCGCUGGCAUCCUCCUGUUUGUCAUCAUCUUCUUAGGAGUGGUACUCCUGAUGAAAAAAAGAAGAACCUAUCACUCCUACACUUACUACCUGAAAUUGGCCAAGAAGCGUAAAGAGACACUGAACAGCACCCGCCAGGAGAUGACAGUGAUGGUCAACUCCAUGGACAAGAGCUACACGGAGCAAGGUACCAACUGUGACGAGGCGCUCUCCUUCAUGGACACACACAACCACACGCUGAACACCCGCAGCGAGUGUGCACUCACACUCAACGGCCGCAGUGAGUGCACCCUCACUCUCAACGGCAGAGCGGGAUCCUCGCCUUCUUCCUUCACACUGCCUAAAGCCAACACUCUCAGCACUUCCAUCCCCACCAACUCAUACUACCCAGAUCCCUUUGUGCCAACUGCCAUCUUAGAUGAGAGCCAGAACAUGGGCAGUGACACCAGCAGCCUGGUGCAGUCACACACUCACUCGCUGAGGAAGCGGGAGCCCGUUGACGUGCCGUAUCAGACAGGUCAGCUGCACCCGGCAAUCCGCGUGGCAGACCUCCUCCAGCACAUCACCCAAAUGAAGUGCGCAGAGGGCUACGGCUUCAAGGAGGAGUACGAGAGCUUUUUUGAAGGACAGUCUGCGCCAUGGGACUCUGCCAAGAAGGAUGAGAACCGCAUGAAGAACCGAUAUGGGAAUAUUAUUGCAUAUGAUCACUCCCGUGUCAGGCUGCAGGCCCUGGAGGGGGAACAGAGCUCCGAUUACAUUAAUGCAAAUUACGUUGAUGGCUACCACAGGCCAAAUCACUACAUCGCCACUCAAGGCCCCAUGCAGGAGACGGUCUUCGACUUCUGGAGGAUGGUCUGGCAGGAGAACACGGCAGCUAUCGUCAUGGUGACCAACCUGGUGGAAGUGGGCAGGGUGAAGUGCUGUAAAUACUGGCCUGACGACACAGAGAUCUACAGAGACAUCAAGGUGACGCUGAUAGAGACUGAGCUCCUGUCAGAGUAUGUCAUCAGGACCUUUGCUGUAGAGAAGAGAGGGGCUCAUGAGAUCCGAGAGAUCCGACAGUUUCACUUCACGGGCUGGCCGGACCACGGUGUGCCCUAUCACGCCACAGGCCUGCUGGGGUUUAUUAGGAGAGUCAAGUCCAAGACCCUAACCAAUGCUGGGCCCAUGGUGAUUCACUGCAGUGCCGGGGCCGGUCGCACAGGCUGCUUCAUCGUCAUCGACAUCAUGCUGGACAUGGCAGAGCGAGAGGGUGUGGUGGACAUUUACAACUGCGUGAGGGAGCUGCGCUCACGGAGGGUCAACAUGGUCCAGACUGAGGAGCAGUAUGUCUUCAUCCAUGAUGCCAUUUUGGAGGCAUGUCUGUGUGGCGACACCACCAUUCCUGCCAGUCAGCUCCGCUCUGUCUACUAUGAUAUGAACCGCCUGGACCCGCAGACCAACUCCAGCCCCAUUAAGGAGGAGUUCAGAACUUUGAAUAUGGUGACUCCCACGCUGCGGGUGGAGGACUGCAGCAUCGCCCUGCUGCCCAGGAACCACGAGAAAAAUCGCUGCAUGGACGUCCUGCCUCCAGACCGUUGCCUCCCCUUCCUGAUCACCAUCGACGGGGAGAGCUCCAAUUACAUCAACGCUGCCCUCAUGGAUAGUUACAAGCAGCCUUCUGCAUUCAUAGUGACCCAGCACCCACUGCCAAACACAGUGAAGGACUUCUGGAGAUUGGUGCUGGACUACCACUGCACGUCCAUAGUAAUGCUCAACGACGUAGACCCAGCCCAGUUGUGCCCACAGUACUGGCCAGAAAACGGAGUCCACCGCCACGGACCUAUCCAAGUGGAGUUCGUCUCCGCGGACUUAGAGGAGGACAUCAUCAGCAGAAUAUUUCGGAUCUACAAUGCAGCGCGGCCACAGGACGGCUACCGGAUGGUGCAGCAGUUCCAGUUCCUGGGCUGGCCCAUGUACAGAGACACGCCCAUGUCCAAACGCUCCUUCCUCAAACUGAUUCGACAGGUGGACAAGUGGCAGGAGGAGUACGACGGGGGCGAGGGACGCACUGUGGUCCACUGUCUGAAUGGAGGCGGUCGCAGUGGGACAUUCUGUGCCAUUAGCAUUGUGUGUGAGAUGCUUCAACACCAGCGAUCUGUGGAUGUUUUCCAUGCUGUCAAAACACUGAGGAACAAUAAACCCAAUAUGGUGGACUUACUGGACCAGUACAAGUUUUGUUACGAAGUGGCGCUGGAGUACUUGAACUCUGGGUAACUCGGAGCUACUGUACCCACCAGAGACUUAAAGUUUGGGACAUUACAGAAGACUACAGCUCACAUGUGUGCAUUGUGCUAAGUGUGUGUGUCACCGACCCGACAGGAACAAGCUGGGAAAGACGACAUUAGGGGGACAUCUGCUGGAGAGAUGAGUGACACCGGUGGCCAUUAAGUGAUCUGCAGUCAGCAAUUGUGUGCGUGUUCGCCCAUCAACAAGAGCAAGUAGCAGUGCGACACUAUUGCAGUGACACCGGUGGCCAUUAAGUGAACUGCAGUCAGCAUCCUGUUGCUCGCAAUCGUGUGCGUGUUCGCCCAUCAACAAGAGCAAGUAGCAACGCGACACUAUUGCAGCAACCCUCUUCUUCUCACUCUGACACACUGAUUCACAGCUGGAAAGCUCCCCAGUCUUACUGAAAUCUGAUCUUUUGGCCAAUGAGCAGCUCCACUGGAGCAGCUUGGGGGUUAUGUCUUGCUCAAGGGCACAUCAAUGGAGGUAAAUGAGGAAGGAACAGACACACACAUCCUGCUCGGCUAUGGAUCGAACUCGGGGCUACCUGCUGUGAUGUUUGAAACACUGACAACAAUAGAACAAUUCCUGCUCUUUCUGCUGUGCACAUUCACAUGUGGGAGCUGCCCAGUGUUAACAAAGAUUUGUGUAGUUUCCCACUGAGCAGAUACUCCAGAGCAGAUGGGUUCAACCAGCUUCAUUAAGAGCAGUUCAGUCGCACGCUUGAUGAAAGAAUCAUUAACUUUCACAGCCGUAGACCAAGGAUUAAUACCAGCAAACUUCUAGUCACCCUCAUGCUUAUAAGCCUAACCCAAAACACUUGGAGACUGCCUGCAGCACUGUUGGACUUUUAAAAAAACUGUUGCAGUACCUUAAAGUCUCUCUGGAAGGAAGGAAUCUUUGGAACAUCUUCAUGGAAGAUGAAGGUUACCAUCUUUUCCCUUUUGCACAAUGUUCCAGCUGGUCAGAGCUACAGGCGCUGUGGCACCAGGGAUGGUUUCAUAUUUCACUGCAAGACUGGUGGUGAAUUAUUCCUCUGCUCACACACGGAGGCCAGGGGAGGAUGAGUCGGAGUGAGGAAGGGAGGGAGAUGGAGGAAGCUGGGAGGUGCUCCUACUGCUGGGAGAGUCCAUACCAGAUGUCCAGGAGCACAGGGACAACAUAUGGACACACAAACACACACGCACACACACACAGCCACACAGUCAUUUGUAGCACUCACAGUGAAAAGAAAAUGAAAUUAAAAUUAAUGGGAAAAAAAUUACAAAUACUUGUCAGAGUCUAUACCUGUCAUUCAUUUGAGCUCAAAUAAUUGAUAUAGAAAAUAUGUAUAACUAUAUAAACAGUGAUAUAUAAAGAAAAGACUGUCAUAUAUCUAAAUAUAGGAAUUAAAACAAAUCAUUCAAUACUUAUUAUUUGCUCAGGUUUAUACACAUCAUAUAAAUAAAUAUAUAGGCCAAAAAAAGAAUUUUAAAAAAGUUAAUUGAAGUUCAAAACUUCAUUCCACAGCUUCAAUGACAAUUUGACAGUGAGUUUAACCUACAUCCCAAACAUCAUUUUACCAGAAUCAAGUUUCCAAAAUGGCAGUCAUUACAUUAGGGAAUUAAUUUUUUAUGAGCUGCAACUGAGAGCAGUAAGGUUGCUGCAGAGGCAUUAGCCUUGAGCACGGCUUUCAUGGCAUUAUAUGUCCAGGAGAUGGCAGUGUAGAGCAGGAAACACACACACAAUGCCAGUUAAAGGCAACAGCAGGUAGUGAAGACUGUUAAGACUCAAUCUACCUUUAAUCACUGCUUGAAAGCUCACAUUCAAGUCAUGAACAUAUUUCCCUGCAAAACUGAAGAUUUCAUGAAACUUAUGAGUUAUUGAAUGUGUAAUAGGACUUGAUGAUGAUAUGGGCAGAUAUGUCAAGUUUGUAUUCAUACAGCAAAGGUAUGUAUUAAAAUGGCAAUGAUUCAGCA